Molecule: long non-coding RNA, 104 nt
Organism: Cucurbita maxima (winter squash)
Lineage: Eukaryota; Viridiplantae; Streptophyta; Magnoliopsida; Cucurbitales; Cucurbitaceae
Exons: 3
Source: RefSeq, a predicted model, not a curated record
AGUGAGAGUAUUUGAGUUCUUUUCCUGUCCAUACUUCUUUUGGCAACUUGAACUCCAAGGGUACUGACAGCCUUCUAUUGAUCAAAUAGACUUGCAUUAUUUAC